This 460-nucleotide ribosomal RNA is filed under the name uncultured bacterium. Its description in RNAcentral is "partial 16S ribosomal RNA". It matches the Rfam family "Bacterial small subunit ribosomal RNA", at positions 338 to 795 of the family's 1533-position model. The record is from RNAcentral.
CCUACGGGAGGCAGCAGAGAGGAAUAUUGGUCAAUGGACGCAAGUCUGAACCAGCCAUGCCGCGUGCAGGAAGACGGCUCUAUGAGUUGUAAACUGCUUUUGUACGAGGGUAAACGCAGAUACGCGUAUCUGUCUGAAAGUAUCGUACGAAUAAGGAUCAGCCAACUCCGUGCCAGCAGCCGCGGUAAUACGGAGGAUUCAACCUUUAUCCGGAUUUAGUGGGUUUAAAGGGUGCGUAGGCGGUCGGAUAAGUUAGAGGUGAAAUCCCGAGGCUCAACUUCGGAAUUGCCUCUGAUACUGUUCGGCUAGAGAGUAGUUGCGGUAGGCGGAAUGUAUGGUGUAGCGGUGAAAUGCUUAGAGAUCAUACAGAACACCGAUUGCGAAGGCAGCUUACCAAGCUACUUCUGACGUUGAGGCACGAAAGCGUGGGGAGCAAACAGGAUUAGAUACCCGAGUAGUC